This is a long non-coding RNA of Heterocephalus glaber (naked mole-rat), 6807 nucleotides long. RefSeq lists it as uncharacterized. The record is from RefSeq and is a predicted model, not a curated record. Lineage: Eukaryota; Metazoa; Chordata; Mammalia; Rodentia; Bathyergidae.
GGAAGGCUGGAGGCACUCCUCCAAUGGGAACCUUGAAGCCUUCGGUAGAGGUGGAGACUGGUGACCCCGCUCCAGCUCGAGCCAGAGGGAGGGAAGCAUCCAGUGUAUUCGCGAGAUCCUGCUGCGGGCCCCUGGCGUCACUUGGCCUACUGGCAGAGCAGAAGGCCCGGGUGUCGGGCCAGCGGGUGCCAGAGGAUCCUGCAGGUGGCAAAGGGAGGGCGAAUGCUCCAGCGGCCCCUAGAGGGCAACCAGAACAUACAUCAUUAUUAGAACCAUCAAGCUGCAGCUAGCUUGGACAUCAUUAAAAGGGCUCAUCAGCUACAAAUGGAUACAAGUAUCUGACAUUUAUGAAGACAGAGUUUCAGGACUUCUACCUGGAGCUACACCCUCUAGAAGUCCCCGGUUGGCCUCCCCGCACCCAAUCCCAUCCCAACCAGUCACAACUUGGGCUGUGCAUGGUGUUUCUUGGAAACUGGAACACAGACUCUUCCAGCAGCUCCACAGUUCCCUUGUCCUCAAUAAGCAGAAGAUUGCAGAAGCUGACUGCUGAAGAGGUCUUCCAAGCAAUAGAACACCUCCUUGGCCCUGCCUAGCACAUUUAUCACAGAGCAGUAACUGAGUGCUGAGUGUUACUCAUUUGUGCUUACCACCUGCAGGGACUGCAAGGGAUUUGUCACACCCACUUCACUAAGGGCCACCCUCUAAGGAUUUCUAGAAGAGGUUUACUUUAGAAAGGUGGUCUUCUUAGUGUCUCCAUUGCCUCAGAUCCUACUUGAACACCUCUAGGGCCAAGGGGAUCCAUAUCUCUUCACCUACCUGUAGCCCACAUACUAACUGGAAAACUGCUUGCUAUUUUUUGUUUAUCUCUUUGUUCUUUUAGUGUGAAGAGUUUUAACUAUUGACUCAAUUCCUCAAUGGGACUAUUGAGGAUUUCUUUUUCUUCUUGAGUCAAUUUUGGUAAGAUAUCAUUUCCUAGGAAUUAGUCCAUUUUGUCUAUGUUUUCAAAGUCAUUGGCAUAAAUUUCCUUUAUUUAUUCUCUGCUGUAUAAAAUCUGUAGCAAUGUUUCCUUUUUCAUUGCUAAUAUUGGUUAUGUGUGCCUUCUCACUUUUUUUCUUGAUCAAUCUCUCCAGAGGUUUGUCUAUUUUAUUAGUCUUUUCAAAGAACCAACUUUUGGCUUUGUUGCUCCUCUCUAUUGUGUCUUUGUUUUCUAUUUCUUUAAUUUCUGCUCUUAUCUUUUUUGAUCUCCUCCCUUCCACAUUUUUUGGGUUUAUUCUGUUGUUCUUUUUCUGAUUUCUUAAAUUGGAAAUGAGCUCAUUAACUUUUAGUCUUUUUGUUUUCUAAUUUAUACAUUUAAAGAUGUAAAUUUCCCACUAAAUACUGCUUUUAUACUAGUUCAGAUAAGUAGUAUUUCAUUACUGUUCAGUUGUUUCAAAUGUUUCAACAUUUUCAUUAUAGUUACUUCUUUGACCCAUGAGUUAUAUAAAAAUAUGUUUAAAUUUACAAAUGUUUAGGGAUUUUAAAUUCUGUCUCUUUGUUAUUGAAAUCUACCUUACUUCAUUAUGGUCAGAUAAUGUGAUUCAUGUGAUAACAACUCUUUGAAAUUUAAUGAAACUUGUCUUAUGGCUUAGUACAUGAUCAAUAUUUUUGAAUGUUUCCUAUGUGCUUUAUAAAAAUGUGUGUUCUCUAAUUGUUGGAUACAAAGUUCUGCAUGUAUCUAUUAUCAAGUUUAUUAGCUGUGUUCAAAUUUUAUUUAUCUAAACCUGUUCUUUGGUCAUGAUCUACCAGUAAUUUUAAGAAGUAUGGUAAUCUUCAACUAUGAUGGUGGAUUUAUCAAUUUCUCUCUAUAGUUCUAUCACUUUUUUUGCCUUAUGUAUUAACUACGUCCAAAUUUUAUUUAAACUGGUUCUUUGGUCAUGAUCUACCAGUAACUUUAAAAGGUAUAGUGAUAUUUAACUAUGAUGGUGGAUUUGUCCAUUUCUCUUUGUAGUUCUAUCAUUUUUUGCCUUAUAUAUUGUGAGGAUAUUUUAUUAGGAAUAUUAAAAUGAAUAAUGUUAUAUAUUCCUGGUAAAUAUGUAAUACCCCUCUAUUCCUGAUAAUACCCUUUUCUCUGUUAAUGUAGCAGCACAAGCUUGUUGUUAGGAUUUGUAUGAUAUAUAAUUUUACAUUCUUUUACUUUUUAGAAUUCACAUGCUUUUAUUCUUUUUUAACUUUAUUCUUUUAUUAGUACAUAUUUGUCAUACAUAUUGAUCACAUUCAUCAUAGGGAAUUUGUACCUGUAAAAACUAGAACUAAAGGUUACUUUCUUAUGUUUCUUGAAAAUGCAGUGGCGUAUAGCUGGACCUUUAAAAAUGUACAAUCUGGUGACCUCUGUCUUUUAAUUGGCAGGUUUAGUCUGUUUAUAUUUACUGUGAUUUAAAAUUUUUUUACCACCACAUUUUCUUAUUUUAGUUAUUAACCAUGAACUUUUGUAUUCUUCAUUUUUUUUUGACAGUCUUCCUAAGUCCCUAAAUUGCCCAAGGUGAGCUGGAACUUGUAGUCCUCCUGCCUCAGCCUCCCAGAGUAUUGGGAUUACAGGUACAUGCCACCUCAUCCAGCUUUGUUUUCUUGUUCUGUUUUUUUCCUUUUGUUUGAGUUUCAUUUUUUAUUCUUUCUGAGGUUGUUCUUGAAAUUUUACCUUGUAUGUUUAACUUACAAGUUUAAAGUUAAACAAUGUUUAAUCCCCUCUUGAAGAAUGCAGGAAGCCUGGAAAUCUUCAACUUUAGUCAUUCCUUUCCUAACCACAUACUGUUGUUUUUCAAGUAUGUUAGUUUUGUUUUUUCCUUUUUUCCUAACUUCACAUUUACACAUAAUCAUCAGUACUAUUUUAUAUAGGCAGGAUUUGUUUGACUUUACAUGCAUACAUUCUUGCAUCUCAGAUUAUCAUUCUUGGAUUGUUUUCUUUCAUUAUGAAUACAGUGUUUAAAUGUUCUUUUUGUGUAGGUCUCUUGGUGUUAAAUUCUUCAAGUCUGUGUUAUAUGUAAAUGUCUUUUCAUUUCUUUCUUUUUUUUUUUUUUUUUUUUGGUACCGGGGAUCAAACUUGGGACCUUGCGCUUGAGAGGGAGGCAGCGGAACCACUGAGCUAAAUCCCUGGCCCUAUAUGUAAAUGUCUUUAUCCUCCUCCUUAAAAAGAUAAUAUUUUGUGGGUAUUGUCACUCAACCCUUAGAAUAUAUGAUCUAAUUCUCUUUUGGCUUUGGGAAGUCUGCUUUGUUGCCAUUUAAAAGUGUAUUAUGAGUUAUAUUGCUGUUGUUGUUGUUGGGGUGGAAUGUGCAGGGGGUCUUGCAGUUUCUUACAUGUUUGAGAAUGAUGGUUCAGAAAAUUCAGUUUUUAAUAAUUUCUGGAAAAUUCUCAACCAUUACUUCCUUAAAUAUUGCCUCUCUUUCAUUCUAUUUUUUCUUUCUCAGAAUCCAGUUAGUCAUAUUUUAAACUCCUUUAUUCUAUCUUUUGUAUGUCAUAACGUCUUUGAUGUUUUCUAUCAUCUUGUCUUCUUGUACUUCAUUUGGGGCAAUUCCUUCUGAUAUAUCAUUCAGUUUACCAAUUCUCUCUUCACCUAUGUCUAAUCUGUUGUUUAAUCUUUCCAUUGAAUUUUUUUUACAAAAAUUGCACUUUCAUUUGCACAAGCUUUCUAAUGUGAUUAUUCAGCCCUGAUAGUCUCCUGUUGCUUGCUGUUCUUUGUGAUUUUAUCUAUUACUUCUUUAUUUUGUAUAAUUUCUGUUCAACCAGUUCUCACUCUUUGACACUGUAAAUAUUGUUCACAUCUAGGCCACAAAAUACACUCUGAGUACAUAUUCUUCAUUGCAUACAUUUUUGUUUUCCUAGGAGCUGAUAAUUGUGUUUUGUUUUCUUCUAACUAGUGUUAUGUAAUAAUACCCAUUACUAAUUCUUCUCUGAAAUUCUUUUUUUUUUUUUUUUUUUUUUUGGUACCGGGAAUUGAACUCAGGUCCUCGCACUUGCGCAGCAGGCACCAAAACCACUGAGCUAAAUCCCUGGCCCUGAAAUUCUUUUUAAAAUCCAAAUCAGAUUGUGUCCCUCUUCUACUCAAAAUUAUCCCAUGGCUUCUAGCUCCCUCAGAACAAAAGCCAGAACUUUCACCAUAGCCCAAAUGUUCCUUCAUAAUCUGGUUCCCUUCACCUCUCUGACCUCAUCUCCUGUCACUUUCCCUAUCACUCACUCUUCUCCAGCCACCCAGCCUCCUUCCUGCCCCUCAAGCAUGCUGGUACCUUCCCUCUUCAGGGCCUUUGUUCUUGGUAUUCUUCCUGCCCGGAACAUCUUUCCUCCCACAUAAUCUGAUGACUUGCUGAAGUAUUUCCAUUAUCUUCAAAUGUCACCUCCCUGAUCAACAUACAUAAAGUAGCCCCCUUCACCUCCAUUCUCUAUCUCCUUACCCUGUUGUAUAUGUGAUAUUUUUCUAUAGCUCUGAUCACCACCUGAUUGAUUGAUUGAUUAUUGUGGUUAGUGUUUGUCUGUCCCCAAUAGACUGUAAGCUCCUCAAAGCAGGGAUUUCUGUUUUGUUCACUGCUGUAUCCCCAGUGCCAAAAAGAAUAGUGCAUAGCAAUUCAAUAAAUAUUUGUGGAAUAAACUGAAUGAAUGCGUGAAUGCCUUAAUUGAUGUGAAGGAUAAAGAGAGAAAUGCCUCGAAAAGUAGGGCAGGCUGGAAGACUUUUAAUGCCAUGCUAAGGAGCUUGGAUGCCAUUGUUCAGAAGAGUAGGGGCUGAGAAGAAACAGUGAGGACUGCUCCUGGGCUCUUUUCGGAAACAAGUUCUCAGGUGGUAAAACAGUGACAAAGCCCCAUGUUCUCUGUGACUGACUCUGUACUCAUAGGCUUGUGAAAAUGGGCUUGUUGUCUUACCAGCCUGUUACUUAGUGAAAAACAAGGCCUACCUCUCACUGGGAUCGCUUCUCUUGGAGUGUGAGGAACUGUUUCUUAGCCCCCAGGCCAAGCAGAUAGCUCCCAUUAGACUUUUAUCUGUGCACUUGAGGGGAAGGGAUAGUAUAAAGCUGUUAUAAUGUGUGGUACAUAGUAAAUGCUGUUAAAAUGAUGAAGACCACAGGAAGGUAAGUUUUGAUCAAAAGGACUUUUUUCCAUUUUCAGAGUGGGAUUUUUAGUCCUGACUUUGCUCCUAACCCCCUUGGGGACUAGCCUGGGUCCAGUGUUAUUCCUUUCUGUGACUUUGGAUACUAAUUCUGUUUUCUAACAUGUGACCUACUUUUUUUGCACUCAUUAAUUUCAUCAGAGUGCCAUCUGUAUACACACAGCCUUGUGGCAUGCCUCAAGAGACUUCCCUCUCCGGGCCAACAUCAGUUCAUUAAUCAUUUUCACCUUGGGUUUAACCAUCCAACUAGUUACAAGCUCAGCUGAACAUUGUUUGACUGACCACUUGCUAUGUUUUAGACCUUCUGCUCCACACUGAAGACACAGGGCUGAGCCAGGUGUGUUCCCAGACACAGCACCAUAAUUUCAGGACAGUGAGGUCCAUGCAGUAACAGUGGUCAUUGCAGUAAGCUGUGAGAGCCCCUAAGGACCACACAGCCAGAUCAGGAGGCCAGGAAGCUUUCUUGGAAGAGAUGGCAUGUGAACUAAGUCUUAAAAGAUAAGUAGAAAUCAUCCAGUUGAUUAACAAGGGAUGAAAUGGUAAUCUAGGCAAAGGCUACACCAUGGGCAGUGACCCAAGGACAGGAAGUGACAUGGUAUGGACUACCCUGCCUCAUUACAUUCACAGCUCACCUGACUUUCACAAGACCAUCAUAAGACACUUUUUAAAAAUUUUUUGUUGAGACAAGGUCUUAGUGAGUUGCCCACACUGGCCUUGAAUUCAUGAUCCUCCUGCCUCAGCCUCCCAAGUUGCUGGAAUGACAGAUGUGGGCCACUGUACCCAGUGUAGGAGACUUUGAGACAUACCAAAAUCCAGACAUGAGUUUGUGGGGCCUCCCCAAUAUGCCUAUCUAGCAGUUAUUCAGAAAAUUAUUGAAGAGCUGGUCUGACAUGACUAUCCGUGAAGUUGUCUAUACUAGUUUCUGGCAUCCCUGGCUUUCUUUUCUAGAAGGAAGUAUUCUGGGAUUCCAGUCACUCCCAUUGUCCAGGAAGUUAUAGGGUCUCCCUCAGCCCCUGUGUGUGGAGAGGAGUUUUCUGAUUUGAAAUUUUACUAUACAGAUUUAACCUGAAAUCUAAAGCUAAACAUUAUCAUAAUCCUCACCAAACAUGAGGACUUUAUAAAACUUUGAUGUCUCCCAACUUACACAUUCUUGUGACUAUUUUAUUUACUGUUUUAAGGAAAACAUUAACACCAAAAAAUAUUAACAGCCUCAUUAUUUUAUGCAGACAGUAUUCUUUUAGUUUUAAAUAUUAGUCAUUUUAUUUGCCCAUGUGUCUUCUUAAACCUCAGACUUCCCUUUUGUGGAUGAAUUUUCUUCUGGAAAUGUAUACCUUAGACGAUCCUAUAGCACAAUCACUUAAUAAGAAACUCUCAGUGUGUAUUUAUCUAUAAAUGCCUUUUGAAACUUUAUUUUUCUUAAGACAGAUUUGUUGGAUACCCAAUUCUAAACUACCUCUUUUCCUCCUUAACACUUAUUACACUGUCUUCUGGUUUCCAUUAUUACCAGUGCAAAGGUUUAUUAGUCUAAUUGUCUUUGUAGAUGUCCUUUUAUCUCCAGCUGCUUUGAAGAGUAUUUAAUUAUUGCUUAACUCUAAGAAUUUUUUCUUUCUUCUCUGCAUGUUCCUUUUUGUAGCUUCCUGAGCUUGCUUUAUGAAUGUAAUAUUUUUUCCUGGUUACU